GAUGAACGCUGACAGAAUGCUUAACACAUGCAAGUCCACUUGAACUUCGGUUUGGGUGGCGGACGGGUGAGUAACGCGUAAAGAACUUGCCUCACAGAUAGGGACAACAUUUGGAAACGAAUGCUAAUACCUGAUAUUAUGAUUAUAUGGCAUCGUAUAAUUAUGAAAGCUAUAUGCGCUGUGAGAGAGCUUUGCGUCCCAUUAGCUAGUUGGAGAGGUAACGGCUCACCAAGGCGAUGAUGGGUAGCCGGCCUGAGAGGGUGAUCGGCCACAAGGGGACGGAGACACGGCCCUUACUCCAACGGGAGGCAGCAGUGGGAAUAAUUGGACAAGGGACCAAGAGUCUGAUCGAGCAAUUCUGUGUGCAAGAUGAAGUUUUUCGGAAUGAAAAGUGCUUUCAGUUGGGAAGAAAAAAAUGACGGUACCAACAGAAGAAGUGACGGCUAAAUACGUG
This 454-nucleotide ribosomal RNA is filed under the name uncultured bacterium. Its description in RNAcentral is "partial 16S ribosomal RNA". It matches the Rfam family "Bacterial small subunit ribosomal RNA", at positions 28 to 507 of the family's 1533-position model. The record is from RNAcentral.